GUCUGACAAGGGCAAAGCACGCCGAAAGGGUGUGACGCAAAGCCACCGGCCUACAUUUCGUUUUGUGCGAAACAGGGUAGCGGGGCCGCCGGA
Molecule: non-coding RNA, 93 nt
Filed under: Desulfonatronum zhilinae
Lineage: Bacteria; Pseudomonadati; Thermodesulfobacteriota; Desulfovibrionia; Desulfovibrionales; Desulfonatronaceae
Description: GEMM cis-regulatory element
Rfam family: c-di-GMP-I riboswitch aptamer
About the family: GEMM was predicted in a large-scale screen for bacterial structured RNA regulatory elements. Genes associated with GEMM are involved in a diverse array of functions, including chemotaxis regulation, signal transduction, secretion and chitin.
Source: RNAcentral